RNAcentral lists this ribosomal RNA (225 nucleotides) under uncultured Rheinheimera sp. Its description in RNAcentral is "partial 16S ribosomal RNA". It matches the Rfam family "Bacterial small subunit ribosomal RNA", at positions 568 to 792 of the family's 1533-position model. Lineage: Bacteria; Pseudomonadati; Pseudomonadota; Gammaproteobacteria; Chromatiales; Chromatiaceae. The record is from RNAcentral.
CACGUAGGCGGUGUGUUAAGUUGGAUGUGAAAGCCCCGGGCUCAACCUGGGAAUUGCAUUCAAAACUGGCACGCUAGAGUAUGUGAGAGGGGGGUAGAAUUCCAAGUGUAGCGGUGAAAUGCGUAGAGAUUUGGAGGAAUACCAGUGGCGAAGGCGGCCCCCUGGCACAAUACUGACGCUGAGGUGCGAAAGCGUGGGGAGCAAACAGGAUUAGAUACCCCUGUA